Molecule: long non-coding RNA, 2734 nt
Organism: Amphibalanus amphitrite
Lineage: Eukaryota; Metazoa; Arthropoda; Thecostraca; Balanomorpha; Balanidae
Exons: 2
Source: RefSeq, a predicted model, not a curated record
UCCGUGGACAAUUUAGAGUUCCCGCCUGAAUUUCAUGGACAUUAUGGGAUUCAUGGACAUCGUCAUGUCCACGAAUUUAUUUCUGUAGUUUCGCUUCGCUCCGUGGACAAUGGUUUGCAUGACGUAUGGACAGACUUUUCAUGGACAUGAUGUCGUGUCCAUAAAUUCACACCUAUUUUAGCCCGCUCAAAGAUGUCAUAGCUUUUUUUAACACCACGUGGCGCCCCAAUCGACCGAGUAUGUUACUCUGCCUCUGAUUGGUCAGCUUGUGCAAGGUCGUUUUUGAUUGGUUGUUGAAGUCGUGUCCACGCAGUGCUCUUGUUCUGCUAACUUUGUCCAUGCAAUGUUAGGAAUAUUUACAAAUUUUGUGACGUCAUAGCAGACAGCUGGCUUAUUGUUCGCGAAACGACAUGUGGGAGACGUUGAGACGACGCCGGCCAUGCGCCAUUUCAAUUUCAGUUAUUGUGCAAGGCCGAGUUUCUUACUGUUUUUUGACACAGCAUUGGUGUAUGUUGAAGUCGGCAUUUUCGCUGGAGUGAAGAUUAGUGAGUCAUUUGAUUUCGUUGGAGAGGAAUAUGAAAAGAAAGGUCUCGACGUGGCUCAACUUUGGAGCCAGCGUGUUGGGUCCCGGCUUCCCGCCAUUCACCGGCGGACCGUUCCGCUUCGUGGACCGCAUCGGCCCCGCACAGCUGGUCAAGGGCAUUAAGCGCUUUGUCGCUGUCUACAGCGUCGGAUUCGAGCUGGUCGGGCACAAGUCGCGCUCUCCACGUGACCGAGCCCGCCCUUAGGCGACCGAUGCCCGCCAACCGGCCGCCGCGCGGACGGAGGUGACGCUGCCGGCCAUCGAGCGGCUCAUCGAGGCGGGCAACGCUCGGAUCAUCGAGACACUGGAAAAGAGACUCGCCCAGUAGGAGCGGAGAAUAGAGAUCCUCGAGGCAGAAUGUCAGGAGACAGAUGUCAUGAUGAUCCGCCGGGAAAUGACAUCCCAGAAAGAGGAGACCAGGGAGCUUAAGGAAAAGGUCGACGGAAUCAACAGAAACCGGCGCAUGUCCUCACUUAUCAUCACGUGUGAGGAAUUCGGUGACAGGAAGCCCGGGGAGGACAUUGAGCUCAUGACGGUGCAAGCGCUCAACAAGCGUUUCCCUGACUUGAAAUUAACGACAGGUGACAUCCAGGUCGCCCAUCGUCUUCAGGGGAAUGGUAAAGUGAUCGCCAAGUUUGUCAAACGGACAGUGAGGGACGAACUGUUUGAGCAACGGUUCGAGCUGGCCGGACGGAGGGGCGGUGCUCGACCGGGCAGGUGGAGUGCGUCAGGUGGCUGGGAGAUGGAAGCACUUUACCUCAGCGAGUCUCUGACACCCGAGUCCCAGCGCAUGUACAAUCUGCUACUCACUGCGCGUAAACAAGAAUGAGGAUCCAAGGUGGCAUCAGUUUUUACCAGGAGAGGCUACGUUUACUGCAGGAAGGUGAAAGGCGGCGAGAACAUCCGGAUACAGGACUGGUGUCACCUUCAGCGCAUCGUGCACACUGCAUAGCAGUCCGGGUGGGUCGCCGGUGGCGGCGGAGGCGGCUGGCGCGCCGGGCGGCGGGCGGCCGAGCGGCCCGCCCGCCCGGGAUCGGGCGGUGCCGCGCGGUUCCCGGCCUGCCCGUGAGGAGCGGAGCGCCGCCCGGCCGGGACCGGCGCCGCCGCUCUCCCCGGGCGGAGCUGCGGGGGAGCCGAGCCGGCGCACGGUAGCUGCUGGUGCACCUGCACCGGGUACAGGGCCGGAGGCGAGCAGCAGUGAUCCGGUAGGUGCGACACGUGACCGAUGUACGGCCGAGCGGACGGGUCGGGCGGGGGCGGGGCCGAGCUCGGUCGGGGGCUCCGGCUCCGGCUCCGGCUCCGGCUCUGGCUCUGGCCCUGGGCCGGCUCUGGACACUGUCCGGGACGACUGUCAGAGCUGUCCCCCGCUGAGCCGAGUAGAGUCUGGCUGUGAUCCCCUCGCCACGGGGUGAAUUUGAAUGUAUCGGGAAGUAUUCACUCUAGAGAGGGGGCGAGUACACUCAUGUCCGUUCGCUGUGUGAUAAAUGACGGCACUUCAGGUGCGUUCCUUGUCUGGCGGGGAGGUGUGCGGGAUAACCGUGAGGUUUUGGGGCAGGGUUGAUUAGUGUCACUUAUAAGUGGGAUAAGGGUGGCAAAAUCGGCUGAGUGGGGAAGAAAGACUAUGAUCAGGGAUUUGCCCUUACAUGAUAAAUAAGUGAGAAAGUGCAUUUAAAGUUAUUACACGAAUGAAAGUUUUGAACACCGUGCAAUGUGCAUUGUUAGUAGAAGUUUUCUCUUUCUUUUUCUCUUUCUGUUGCCGGCUACUCGUGCGGUCGGCUUGAACUGAUUAAAGGUAUGCACUUUCAUUACAGCUAUUCAAGCCAGCAUAAAGUGUCCCGGAGAAUCGAGAUGGUAACGAGAAUCGAGUUGGUAACGUUGAUCGCCUUAGGAAAUGACCAGUGGCUCAUGCAGGUACCGGUAAAUGUCUAUUAUCAUUUGAUUGUUCACCUGGAGAACGGUGACGUGUCACCCCGCAGACACUUGAUGAUGUGGGAAGCUUGAGAGAGCAGCGGUCUCGCCGCUUGCCGCCCGUGGCCCGCCCUUUGUGUGGCCCACAUGUGAUAUUACCGAAAGGGUAUGCAUGGGAAGCAGCUCCGCGUGUGUGCCAGUGCUAUGCGUAUUCAGAGAAAAAUAUAUAUUCUGGGUGGUCAA